This is a long non-coding RNA of Drosophila subobscura, 1418 nucleotides long. RefSeq lists it as uncharacterized. The transcript has 3 exons. The record is from RefSeq and is a predicted model, not a curated record. Lineage: Eukaryota; Metazoa; Arthropoda; Insecta; Diptera; Drosophilidae.
GGGGGAUAUAUGUAUCUGCUCGUAUCUAGCAAAAUACAUGUGUGCAGGCGCGUGCUGGAAUUAAAUGUGCCGUGAAAUAAAUCCAAGGGAACACGACACAGCCAGAGAAAUUCACUGCCAAAUGUCCUUCACAGCGGAUGAAUCCAUGUCUGUCUGUGUCUGUCUCUCUGUGUGUGUCAUUAAUAGAAACAAAAAGUGAAUUGAAUCCGAAACAAAACGAAAUUGAGUCGGACGGGGGAGUUUGCUAACAAGCGAAAGACGACCUCAACCUCGCUUUCUCCUCUCCUAAGGGAAGGCCAAAAGAUGUGGUUGGUACAAGGAAAACAACAAUUAUGGCAGAGUGAACCGACGGACGGAGCCCCGAAAAUAACAGCUCUUUAAUGGGGAUUAAAUUUAUAGAAAUAAUUCGACAAGCCAGCUGAAGGCUGGUGCUGAAAUUUAAUACCUUGUAAUGACCCAGAAAUAAUAAUCUUUGGGCCAACAAUAUUGAUAUGCCCUGGGGGUGGGGUGGACAUGGCUGGACAUAUAAAGGUUAAGUAAGAGAAGCCCUCGAUGUAGUCGCAGGAGUGGUCAAGUAUUUUGAGCUCAAUCAGACUGAAAGGCAAAGAGAGACAAAAUCUAAUAUAAAUAGUGCUUAUAGUGCAGCUGAUGGUCAGCAAUCGUUCAUUUCACGGUUCAAUAGAAAUAAUCAAAGCAUUACAGUUUAUCUACUGUCAACUGAAAAUUAUACUUUCAGGCAUACAAUAACUAACUCAACAACCAACAAUCUGCUGACUAAUCUGAAGGAGAGGGAUGUUCAUUAAUUGAAUUGGGGAGGAAUAACAACAAAGUCAGCGAUAAGUUGUGUAGACAACCACGGAGAACUCAUGGCCACUCAGACCCAUUCGAACAAUUAACCACUCAAGCCAAAGUCGGAGGUGGAGUCGAAGUCCUAGGUCCUAAACAAACCACAUUUCUACGAGCAGCUGUGGAAACCCUGGCAAUUAAAUGGUCUGGAGAUUCAAGGGUAACACAAGACGAUAAUUGGCAUCGAAAAUUAAAGUGAAGGGGCCAGCGAGGAGUAUAAUCAUCAGUAAAAUUAUGAAUAUAUUUUAUUUUAUAGAUCCUACACAGUAAGCCGGAUCUCCAAUAUUCAAAUAAUGGGAAAUAUAAAUAAUAAACCGACGUAUGCUUUUAGGCUUGACAGUAUACAUACAUUCAGGCGGAGCUGAGAAUACCUGAGAACGUACUUGAUAUCCUUCAUAAGGAAUCCAUUUACUCGAAGGGUUUUUACCUAUCACUGCGCUGUUGGGAAAUGUUCCACUUUUUGUUUGCAAAAAUUAUACACAUUAUAAUUAUACAUUUUUUUAUAUUAGAUGGAGGGAAAAUAUUAUGUUAAACAAAAAAUUACGGGAAUAUCUUAUACAAUGUUAUAUUUU